GACGAACGCUGGCGGCGUGCUUAACACAUGCAAGUCGAACGGAAAGGCCCUGCUUUUGUGGGGUGCUCGAGUGGCGAACGGGUGAGUAACACGUGAGUAACCUGCCCUUGACUUUGGGAUAACUUCAGGAAACUGGGGCUAAUACCGGAUAGGAGCUCCUGCUGCAUGGUGGGGGUUGGAAAGUUUCGGCGGUUGGGGAUGGACUCGCGGCUUAUCAGCUUGUUGGUGGGGUAGUGGCUUACCAAGGCUUUGACGGGUAGCCGGCCUGAGAGGGUGACCGGCCACAUUGGGACUGAGAUACGGCCCAGACUCCUACGGGAGGCAGCAGUGGGGAAUAUUGCACAAUGGGCGGAAGCCUGAUGCAGCAACGCCGCGUGCGGGAUGACGGCCUUCGGGUUGUAAACCGCUUUCGCCUGUGACGAAGCGUGAGUGACGGUAAUGGGUAAAGAAGCACCGGCUAACUACGUGCCAGCAGCCGCGGUGAUACGUAGGGUGCGAGCGUUGUCCGGAUUUAUUGGGCGUAAGGGCUCGUAGGUGGUUGAUCGCGUCGGAAGUGUAAUCUUGGGGCUUAACCCUGAGCGUGCUUUCGAUACGGGUUGACUUGAGGAAGGUAGGGGAGAAUGGAAUUCCUGGUGGAGCGGUGGAAUGCGCAGAUAUCAGGAGGAACACCAGUGGCGAAGGCGGUUCUCUGGGCCUUUCCUGACGCUGAGGAGCGAAAGCGUGGGGAGCGAACAGGCUUAGAUACCCUGGUAGUCCACGCUGUAAACGGUGGGUACUAGGUGUGGGGUCCAUUCCACGGGUUCCGUGCCGUAGCUAACGCUUUAAGUACCCCGCCUGGGGAGUACGGCCGCAAGGCUAAAACUCAAAGGAAUUGACGGGGCCCCGCACAAGCGGCGGAGCAUGCGGAUUAAUUCGAUGCAACGCGUAGAACCUUACCUGGGUUUGACAUGGAUCGGGAGUGCUCAGAGAUGGGUGUGCCUCUUUUGGGGUCGGUUCACAGGUGGUGCAUGCCUGUCGUCAGCUCGUGUCGUGAGAUGUUGGGUUAAGUCCCGCAACGAGCGCAACCCUUGUUCACUGUUGCCAGCACGUUAUGGUGGGGACUCAGUGGAGACCGCCGGGGUCAACUCGGAGGAAGGUGGGGAUGACGUCAAGUCAUCAUGCCCCUUAUGUCCAGGGCUUCACGCAUGCUACAAUGGCUGGUACAGAGAGUGGCGAGCCUGUGAGGGUGAGCGAAUCUCGGAAAGCCGGUCUCAGUUCGGAUUGGGGUCUGCAACUCGACCUCAUGAAGUCGGAGUCGCUAGUAAUCGCAGAUCAGCAACGCUGCGGUGAAUACGUUCCCGGG
Molecule: ribosomal RNA, 1342 nt
Filed under: uncultured bacterium
Lineage: Bacteria
Description: 16S ribosomal RNA
Rfam family: Bacterial small subunit ribosomal RNA
Source: RNAcentral